CCCAUCCCCCACUAAGGUUCAUGCUGAAUUAACCAUGGGUCUCAUUCCUUUUAAGUGAAAUUUGAAGAUGUUUAUUCAACUUGUAACAUCCUAUGCUUGGAGAGUAAUAAGCUUGGUGGCAUUGUUUAAAGAAGAAAGUGGCAAGAGAAUUUAGAAUAUUGAAAGUCAAGUCAGGACAAAGCAGCACAUAACAGGAGAUGGCAGCAGCAAGUAGCAGAAUAGAGGAAACCUGUGUGAGCAGGGAGCCCGAGGCGACGGUGUGAGCAAACAGCCCGCGAUCUCAUAGUAUCUGCAGUGACCUCGAGUACAGGCAAGAUGGAUCCAAUGCAGGGAGAUUGAGUGCUUGUGGAGAUGGCAAGACCAGCAUGACGAAGCACUUAAGAAGGACUGUAAUAUUGAAUGGCAUGGGCAGCAUGAUGGCGCAAUGGUUAGCACUGCUGCCUCCACAGCGUGAGGGACCUAGG
This is a non-coding RNA of Chiloscyllium plagiosum (whitespotted bambooshark), 464 nucleotides long. The record is from RefSeq and is a predicted model, not a curated record. Lineage: Eukaryota; Metazoa; Chordata; Chondrichthyes; Orectolobiformes; Hemiscylliidae.